AGGAUAAUAGUUAAAAUUAACAUUUAAUUUGCAUUUAAAAAAAAUUGAAUAUUCAAUUUAUCUUA
RNAcentral lists this transfer RNA (65 nucleotides) under Pyrocoelia pygidialis. RNAcentral's name for it is "tRNA-Ala". Lineage: Eukaryota; Metazoa; Arthropoda; Insecta; Coleoptera; Lampyridae. The record is from RNAcentral.